RNA transcript from Schistocerca nitens (vagrant locust), 1872 nucleotides. It is a transcript of the gene named WD repeat-containing protein 76-like, with no coding region annotated. NCBI's taxonomy places the organism in Eukaryota, Metazoa, Arthropoda, Insecta, Orthoptera, Acrididae. The record is from RefSeq and is a predicted model, not a curated record. The transcript has 13 exons.
UGUGAGUAGUACCCCAGAUCACGUAAGAUCUUAAUGUGAUCUGGGGCAGUACCUUCUCCCGCUUCUGGCUACAGAUGUGUGGCUUUGCACCACUAUCUAAAUUGCUCCAGUUUGGAAAUCGUAGAUCCGGGGCUGAUGCACAGAGCAGUCAGAGUUGUUGUGGGGAGGAGGUAAAUUAUAAUGAAGAUAAGAUAGGCAUAAAUUUAAAAGAACUGGAGAACGGAGAAAGAGAGUACCGAAAAAGGAAACUCAGUCCAUCUAAUGGACAUGAAAAGACUUCUGAAGAUGUAAAAUCAGAACAUAAUAGAGCUCAGGACUCUUCUGAUUCAUCAGAAGAGGAGACAGAAUAUGAUCUUAAAAGAAAAAAGGUUUUAGAGGAAAGAGAGCGGAUGCUAAGGGAUAUAGGUGUCACAACAGCUAAAGAAGAGGUCCAAGAGGUCAUUGAUAAAAUUAAAGCAGUAAACAAGGAGAAAAGAAAAUCAAUAAAAAGCUAUGUAACCCGUACUCGGGAAUCACUGCCAUGUCGUGCUUCCAUGAGACUCAAAGGUCAAGCUCCUGAUGGUAUUGAAGUAAUUACAGAAUCUUUGGAAUCUUUCUUGAAAGUAUCUUCUAGAAAACCUGCAGAUCCCAUUGAUAUGAAGUUGUCAGAUAGUGACUCUGAAACAAUUUCAAAUGAUUAUUUGCUUGAUUUGAAGCCACAUUUAACACAGAAACUAACUGGGCCAGCUUUAGAGGCAGAUAAUCUUACCAGUUUUAAGUCGAGGGUAGAGAAACUGAAAUUAUCUCCAAGCAGAAUAGAGAAAGUAGUACAAGGGAGGGUGACAGCAGCAGCUGUACAUCCGUCUGAAAGUAAUCUUCUGGUAGCUGUUGGAGACAAAUAUGGAAAUAUUGGAUUCUGGGACAUUAAAUUCAAGAAAGAUAGUAUCUCAUUUCAGCCACAUUCUCGUAGCAUAAGCCACAUGACUUUUUCUGUGUUCGGUUCAGAAAAGCUGAUAAGUACCAGUUUGGAUGGAACUGUCAGAUGUGGAGAUCUGAACAAGGAAGUUUUUACUCAGGUUUAUGCAAGUGAUGAAGAUACAUAUGGACACCAUACUUGUUGGCAUACAGAAAUGAGCAGAGAAGUGCUGUUGAUAGCUCAUGGCUCAGGGGAAGUAGGAGUAUUUGACCAAAGAGAAGGAAAGCUGUCUUACAUGUACAAAUGUCAUGAGAGGUCUGUGAAAACUGUGCAGCAUCAUCCAGUCGCUGAAAAUUAUUUUGUCACAGGCUCAGGACUUGGGGAAGCACGAAUAUGGGACUUAAGAGAGAUCCAGAAAUCCAAGCCCAAGCCACUGACAGAUCUGAAGCAUCCAAAAACUUUAACAGGAUGCUUCUUCUCUCCAGCUGGAAACUAUUUGUUAACUACAUGCAAUGAUGAUAGGGUUAGAGCAUAUGACACAACAAAGUUUCGAUCUGAGGUCCCAAAAGUUGUAAUGAAUAUUGCUCUUAACAAUCACAUUGGAAGAUGGCUCACAACAUUCAAAGCAAAAUGGCACCCUCUGCGUGAAGACGCAUUUGUUAUCGGCAGCAUGAUGCAUCCAAGACGGGUGCAGCUGUAUGGUAUUCAUGGAAAAAUAGUUCAUGAACUCAUGGAUCCAGAACUUCAGGUGGUUAUCUCUGUUUGCGAAUUUCACCCAACUCAGCUGGCUUUUGUUGGUUGCAGCAGCUCUGGCAGAAUAUAUGCUUUUGUGUAAAUAUUUGUUUGAAGCACCAGUUUCAUACAGCGAACACUUUUUGUUAAUGAAGAUGUACUUAUUUUUUAAAGCACCUUUCCCUGAUUUUUAACCUUUUUAUUGAUUGUUCGUGCAAAAUUAAAAUUUCAGUUGAAACACAUAA